CAUCUGAACGUGUAUAGGGUGGUGGGGGGAACGCGGGGAAGUGAAACAUCUCAGUACCCGCAGGAAAAGAUAUUCCGUGAGUAGUGGCGAGCGAAAGCGGAGGAGGCUAAACCAGAUGCGUGUGAGAGGCGGCGGCCGUUGCGUGUUUGGUGUUGUGGGGCCAUGUUGGACUCUUCUGCCGGAGGGUCGCGCCGCAUGAUGCUGGGAGUUGAACAGUCUGGGAAGUCUGACCGUAGAGCGUGAGAGUCGUGUAGAUGGACUGGUGUUGUGUGGUGUGGGUGUGGUACCCGAGUAGCGCGGGACUCGUGAAAUCUCGUGUGAAUCUGCCAAGACCACUUGGUAAGCCUAAAUACUACUUGAUGACCGAUAGUGCAUAGUACCGUGAGGGAAUGGUGAAAAGUACCCCGGGAGGGGAGUGAAAUAGUACCUGAAACCGUGUGCCUGUAAGCCGUCAGAGCCUUGUGGGGUGAUGGCGUGCCUUUUGAAGAAUGAGCCUGCGAGUUAGUGAUACGUGGCGUGCUUAACCCGUGUGGGGUAUGCGUAGCGAAAGCGAGUCUGAAAGAUGGCGUUUGUCGCGUGUUCUAGACCCGAAGCGGGGUGAUCUACCCAUGGUCAGGUUGAAGCAGAGGUAAGACUGUGUGGAGGACCGAACCCACCAGGGUUGAAAACCUGGGGGAUGAACUGUGGGUAGGGGUGAAAGGCCAAUCAAACUCCGUGAUAGCUGGUUCUCCCCGAAAUGCAUUUAGGUGCAGCGUCGCGUGGUCCCUGGUGGAGGUAGAGCUACUGGAUGGCCGAUGGGCCCUGUGGGUUACUGACGUCAGCCAAACUCCGAAUGCCAUUAGGUGUAGCGUGGCAGUGAGACUGCGGGGGAUAAGCUUCGUAGUCGAGAGGGAAACAGCCCAGAUCAUCAGCUAAGGCCCCUAAGCGUGCGCUAAGUGGGAAAGGAUGUGGAGUCGCGGUGACAACCAGGAGGUUGGCUUAGAAGCAGCCAUCCUUGAAAGAGUGCGUAAUAGCUCACUGGUCAAGUGGUUCUGCGCCGACAAUGUAGCGGGGCUCAAGCGUACCGCCGAAGCUGUGGCAACGACAUGGAUAGCUGGCGCCAGGAACUGGAGUGCUGGUGUGUUGUUGGGUAGGGGAGCGUCCUGCACGAGGUGAAGCCUGGAGGGAACUUCUGGUGGAUUGUGUGGGAGUGAGAAUGCAGGCAUGAGUAACGAAUCUGCGGUGAGAAUCCGCAGCGCCGAUUGACUAAGGGUUCCAGGGCUAGGUUUAUCCGCCCUGGGUUAGUCGGGUCCUAAGGCGAGGCCGACAGGCGUAGUCGAUGGACAACCAGUUGAUAUUCUGGUACCGCGUUGUGACCGCCCAUGCUGAAGUCAUUGUGCUAACCAAUCUGCCCGUACCCCCGCAUGACUUUCGGGUUGUGUGGUGUGUGUGGGUCUUGGGGUCCCGGUGAUGGUAGGCAAGCGUGUUAACAGGGGUGACGCAGACAGGUAGCUGCAGUGCGCCGAUGGUUGUGCGUAUUUAAGGUUGUGGCCCGUUCCUCAGGUAAAUCCGGGGGACACGUGGGUGAGAACUGAUGAGGGACACACGCGUGUGUGGACUUGUGGUGAUCCUAAGCUGCCGAGAAAAGCCUCGACGUGAGGGCAUGACGCGCCCGUACCCUAAACCGACUCAGGUGGUCAGGUAGAGUAUACCGAGGCGUUCGAGUGAAUCGUGGUUAAGGAACUCGGCAAAAUUCCUCCGUAACUUCGGGAUAAGGAGGACCCCGUGACUUCCCAACACCGCGCGUGUUGGUGGGGUUGUGGGGUCGCAGAGAAUAGGGAGAAGCGACUGUUUAUCAAAAACACAGGUGCGUGCGAAGCCGUAAGGCGAUGUAUACGCACUGACGCCUGCCCGGUGCUGGAAGGUUAAGAGGAACCGUCAACACCCACUUGUGGGUGUGAAGCGGUGAAUUUAAGCCCCAGUAAACGGCGGUGGUAACUAUAACCAUCCUAAGGUAGCGAAAUUCCUUGUCGGGUAAGUUCCGACCUGCACGAAUGGCGUAACGACUUCUCCGCUGUCUCAACCGCGAACUCGGUGAAAUUGCAGUACGAGUAAAGAUGCUCGUUUCGCGCAGAAGGACGGAAAGACCCCGGGACCUUUACUAUAGCUUGGUAUUGGUGUUCGCUUGGACUUGUGUAGGAUAGGUGGGAGACUGUGAAGCUGCCGCGCCAGCGGUGGUGGAGUCGUCGUUGAAAUACCAUUCUGGUUCAAGCGGUCACCUCAACCUUGGCCCGUGAUCCGGGUUGGGGACAGUGCCUGGU
RNAcentral lists this ribosomal RNA (2300 nucleotides) under human gut metagenome. Its description in RNAcentral is "bacterial LSU rRNA". It matches the Rfam family "Bacterial large subunit ribosomal RNA", at positions 155 to 2262 of the family's 2925-position model. The record is from RNAcentral.